ACUUGAAUUGAAGAGUUUGAUCAUGGCUCAGAUUGAACGCUGGCGGCAGGCUUAACACAUGCAAGUCGAACGGUAGCAGGAGAAAGCUUGCUUUCUUGCUGACGAGUGGCGGACGGGUGAGUAAUGCUUGGGAAUCUGGCUUAUGGAGGGGGAUAACGACGGGAAACUGUCGCUAAUACCGCGUAUUAUCGGAAGGUGAAAGUGCGGGACUGAGAGGCCGCAUGCCCUAGGAUGGGCCCCAGUGGGAGUCGGGAGUUGGGGGGGGAAAUGCCUACCAAGCCUGCGCUCUCUAG
RNAcentral lists this ribosomal RNA (293 nucleotides) under Haemophilus influenzae. RNAcentral's name for it is "partial 16S ribosomal RNA". It matches the Rfam family "Bacterial small subunit ribosomal RNA", at positions 1 to 286 of the family's 1533-position model. Lineage: Bacteria; Pseudomonadati; Pseudomonadota; Gammaproteobacteria; Pasteurellales; Pasteurellaceae. The record is from RNAcentral.